Numida meleagris (helmeted guineafowl) is the source of this 851-nucleotide long non-coding RNA. RefSeq lists it as uncharacterized. NCBI's taxonomy places the organism in Eukaryota, Metazoa, Chordata, Aves, Galliformes, Numididae. The record is from RefSeq and is a predicted model, not a curated record. The transcript is spliced from 2 exons.
UUGCUGCUGUUCUUUGCUCUCAGGGCCAUCUCCUUACCCUUUUCCCCUUUCCCCUUUUCCCGGGACGUGGGCCCUUGGGUCCCCCGUCCCCUUUGUCACGGAAUCGGGCCUAACGCCUGUAAACCGUUAACUGGGAAUCUCAACAACUACCUAUAGUAUCAAGCCAUCCUUACACAAUCAUAAAUUGAAAGAACUCUACAAAUCUCAGAAAUUCAAUAAUCCUCCAUUAAAUGCUGCCUGGAUAUUGAAAUACAUCAUUCUUUCUAAUAAGUACAGUUUCCAUUAUUUUUAUUGUUAUUUAUGUGCAGCAUGAGAAACCCUUGUAUUAUGCCAGCAAAGAGCAGGAUGCCACUUCUAGGAAAAAAAAGUUCAUUCAGGGUCUGGCAAAAUGAAUAGAGUACAUCUACAGCCGUCUGAAAAAUCCCUGUACACUGCAUGGAUUCAAGACAUUUUGGAGUCAGUAAACUGUUUUGCAAAAAUAAAUGUUUGCAGAAAAGCUGAUAGAAAGAGGACAAUAUCUGUACUCCCUGCAGAAAUUCAACAGGUGCCACACAACAGCGCUUUUGUGAGAAGAACAAAGUCUCCUCCAGUAGGUCUGGGAGGAAGAAGUCUACAAGAAAUACCAGUGAUAUUUGAUCCAGUAGCUAAGAGGCUGUUGGACAUUGGAUAGUGAAAUGAUUCAUUUGCAAAAUAAACACUGUGACUACAUUCCAGCUUUGGGAAGUUCUAAGAUCUGUAUGUCUGAAAUUUUUCCUCUGUUCAGUAAUUUAUCUCCUAGAGUGGUCCAGUUUGUCUCUGACUCUGAAAUGGAAAGAAACCAGCUAAAAUAAAAAUGUGCCCCUGUGUUGUCA